Carassius auratus (goldfish) is the source of this 413-nucleotide long non-coding RNA. RefSeq lists it as uncharacterized. The record is from RefSeq and is a predicted model, not a curated record. NCBI's taxonomy places the organism in Eukaryota, Metazoa, Chordata, Actinopteri, Cypriniformes, Cyprinidae. The transcript has 5 exons.
UCUGAGGGCAGCCAAAACAAUGCAGACAACAUUGGACUGGUCGACCACCAGUAUGCCAAUAAAGGUCCACUGUGGUCCAAGAGGUUGUGUCCUCAGCAAGAACAAGUGCUGACCUAUGUGCUGGACAGAACACAUCCAGCAAAAGAAAUUGUUUUUCUGGAUGGUCCAGUUUGUCUUCAAAGGGAGGACUUUUGGAGCCUGGGGCUAGAUGAACAGAUUGGGAAUGCGUGCUUCAGACUGGUAGAGGAGACAGCCAGGAGACAUACAACUUGCAGGAGAAGUGACUAAUGGACCGUGGGUGGAGAAGACGGGCAAAGAUUUUGAUCCAUUUCCAGUUCAGUCAGAUGACAGAGCUGUGGGAUAUUCAUGCUUAUGGUAAACUUAUACAAUUUCUACUUGUUUUUUCCUGCAUG